RNAcentral lists this transfer RNA (72 nucleotides) under Camelus bactrianus (Bactrian camel). It matches the Rfam family "tRNA". Rfam says of the family: Transfer RNA (tRNA) molecules are approximately 80 nucleotides in length. Their secondary structure includes four short double-helical elements and three loops (D, anti-codon, and T loops). Lineage: Eukaryota; Metazoa; Chordata; Mammalia; Artiodactyla; Camelidae. RNAcentral also lists the same sequence under 1 other name. The record is from Rfam by way of RNAcentral.
GAGGGUAGACCUCUGUGGUAGAGUGCGUGCUUAGCAUCUAUGAGGUCCUGGGUUCAAUCCCCAGUACCUCCA